AGCCCAGAGCCUGAAUCAGUGUGUGUGUUAGUGGAAGCGUCUGGAAAGGCGCGCGAUACAGGGUGACAGCCCCGUACACAAAAAUGCACAUACUGUGAGCUCGAUGAGUAGGGCGGGACACGUGGUAUCCUGUCUGAAUAUGGGGGGACCAUCCUCCAAGGCUAAAUACUCCUGACUGACCGAUAGUGAACCAGUACCGUGAGGGAAAGGCGAAAAGAACCCCGGCGAGGGGAGUGAAAAAGAACCUGAAACCGUGUACGUACAAGCAGUGGGAGCCUCUUUAUGGGGUGACUGCGUACCUUUUGUAUAAUGGGUCAGCGACUUAUAUUCUGUAGCAAGGUUAACCGAAUAGGGGAGCCGAAGGGAAACCGAGUCUUAACUGGGCGUUAAGUUGCAGGGUAUAGACCCGAAACCCGGUGAUCUAGCCAUGGGCAGGUUGAAGGUUGGGUAACACUAACUGGAGGACCGAACCGACUAAUGUUGAAAAAUUAGCGGAUGACUUGUGGCUGGGGGUGAAAGGCCAAUCAAACCGGGAGAUAGCUGGUUCUCCCCGAAAGCUAUUUAGGUAGCGCCUCGUGAAUUCAUCUCCGGGGGUAGAGCACUGUUUCGGCAAGGGGGUCAUCCCGACUUACCAACCCGAUGCAAACUGCGAAUACCGGAGAAUGUUAUCACGGGAGACACACGGCGGGUGCUAACGUCCGUCGUGAAGAGGGAAACAACCCAGACCGCCAGCUAAGGUCCCAAAGUCAUGGUUAAGUGGGAAACGAUGUGGGAAGGCCCAGACAGCCAGGAUGUUGGCUUAGAAGCAGCCAUCAUUUAAAGAAAGCGUAAUAGCUCACUGGUCGAGUCGGCCUGCGCGGAAGAUGUAACGGGGCUAAACCAUGCACCGAAGCUGCGGCAGCGACACUAUGUGUUGUUGGGUAGGGGAGCGUUCUGUAAGCCUGCGAAGGUGUACUGUGAGGUAUGCUGGAGGUAUCAGAAGUGCGAAUGCUGACAUAAGUAACGAUAAAGCGGGUGAAAAGCCCGCUCGCCGGAAGACCAAGGGUUCCUGUCCAACGUUAAUCGGGGCAGGGUGAGUCGACCCCUAAGGCGAGGCCGAAAGGCGUAGUCGAUGGGAAACAGGUUAAUAUUCCUGUACUUGGUGUUACUGCGAAGGGGGGACGGAGAAGGCUAUGUUGGCCGGGCGACGGUUGUCCCGGUUUAAGCGUGUAGGCUGGUUUUCCAGGCAAAUCCGGAAAAUCAAGGCUGAGGCGUGAUGACGAGGCACUACGGUGCUGAAGCAACAAAUGCCCUGCUUCCAGGAAAAGCCUCUAAGCAUCAGGUAACAUCAAAUCGUACCCCAAACCGACACAGGUGGUCAGGUAGAGAAUACCAAGGCGCUUGAGAGAACUCGGGUGAAGGAACUAGGCAAAAUGGUGCCGUAACUUCGGGAGAAGGCACGCUGAUAUGUAGGUGAAGCGACUUGCUCGUGGAGCUGAAAUCAGUCGAAGAUACCAGCUGGCUGCAACUGUUUAUUAAAAACACAGCACUGUGCAAACACGAAAGUGGACGUAUACGGUGUGACGCCUGCCCGGUGCCGGAAGGUUAAUUGAUGGGGUUAGCGGUAACGCGAAGCUCUUGAUCGAAGCCCCGGUAAACGGCGGCCGUAACUAUAACGGUCCUAAGGUAGCGAAAUUCCUUGUCGGGUAAGUUCCGACCUGCACGAAUGGCGUAAUGAUGGCCAGGCUGUCUCCACCCGAGACUCAGUGAAAUUGAACUCGCUGUGAAGAUGCAGUGUACCCGCGGCAAGACGGAAAGACCCCGUGAACCUUUACUAUAGCUUGACACUGAACAUUGAGCCUUGAUGUGUAGGAUAGGUGGGAGGCUUUGAAGUGUGGACGCCAGUCUGCAUGGAGCCGGCCUUGAAAUACCACCCUUUAAUGUUUGAUGUUCUAACGUUGGCCCCUGACCGGGGUUGCGGACAGUGUCUGGUGGGUAGUUUGACUGGGGCGGUCUCCUCCUAAAGAGUAACGGAGGAGCACGAAGGUUGGCUAAUCCUGGUCGGACAUCAGGAGGUUAGUGCAAUGGCAUAAGCCAGCUUGACUGCGAGCGUGACGGCGCGAGCAGGUGCGAAAGCAGGUCAUAGUGAUCCGGUGGUUCUGAAUGGAAGGGCCAUCGCUCAACGGAUAAAAGGUACUCCGGGGAUAACAGGCUGAUACCGCCCAAGAGUUCAUAUCGACGGCGGUGUUUGGCACCUCGAUGUCGGCUCAUCACAUCCUGGGGCUGAAGUAGGUCCCAAGGGUAUGGCUGUUCGCCAUUUAAAGUGGUACGCGAGCUGGGUUUAGAACGUCGUGAGACAGUUCGGUCCCUAUCUGCCGUGGGCGCUGGAGAACUGAGGGGGGCUGCUCCUAGUACGAGAGGACCGGAGUGGACGCAUCACUGGUGUUCGGGUUGUCAUGCCAAUGGCACUGCCCGGUAGCUAAAUGCGGAAGAGAUAAGUGCUGAAAGCAUCUAAGCACGAAACUUGCCCCGAGAUGAGUUCUCCCUGACUCCUUGAGAGUCCUGAAGGAACGUUGAAGACGACGACGUUGAUAGGCCGGGUGUGUAAGCGCAGCGAUGCGUUGAGCUAACCGGUACUAAUGAACCGUGAGGCUUAACCUUACAACGCCGAAG
This 2652-nucleotide ribosomal RNA is filed under the name Escherichia coli. RNAcentral describes it as "partial 23S ribosomal RNA". It matches the Rfam family "Bacterial large subunit ribosomal RNA", at positions 296 to 2925 of the family's 2925-position model. Lineage: Bacteria; Pseudomonadati; Pseudomonadota; Gammaproteobacteria; Enterobacterales; Enterobacteriaceae. The record is from RNAcentral.